AGUGAACGCUGGCGGUAGGCCUAACACAUGCAAGUCGAACGGCAGCACAGUAAGAGCUUGCUCUUACGGGUGGCGAGUGGCGGACGGGUGAGGAAUACAUCGGAAUCUACUUUUUCGUGGGGGAUAACGUAGGGAAACUUACGCUAAUACCGCAUACGACCUACGGGUGAAAGCAGGGGAUCUUCGGACCUUGCGCGAUUGAAUGAGCCGAUGUCGGAUUAGCUAGUUGGCGGGGUAAGGGCCCACCAAGGCGACGAUCCGUAGCUGGUCUGAGAGGAUGAUCAGCCACACUGAAACUGAGACACGGUCCAGACUCCUACGGGAGGCAGCAGUGGGAAAUAUUGGAAAAGGGGCGAAAGCCUAUUCCAGCCAUACCGGGUGGGUGAAGAAGGCUUCGGGUUGUAAAGCCCUUUUGUUGGGAAAGAAAAGCAGCAGGUUAAUACCCCGCUGUUCUGACGGUACCCAAAGAAUAAGCACCGGCUAACUUCGUG
RNAcentral lists this ribosomal RNA (491 nucleotides) under uncultured bacterium. Its description in RNAcentral is "partial 16S ribosomal RNA". It matches the Rfam family "Bacterial small subunit ribosomal RNA", at positions 29 to 507 of the family's 1533-position model. The record is from RNAcentral.